AGGGGGACCGUGUGGGACGGGUCCUCGUGGGCUCAUAACCCAGAGGUCGCAGGUUCAAAUCCUGUCCCAGCUACCA
This 76-nucleotide transfer RNA is filed under the name Nocardia yunnanensis. RNAcentral describes it as "Nocardia sp. CFHS0054 tRNA-Met". Lineage: Bacteria; Bacillati; Actinomycetota; Actinomycetes; Mycobacteriales; Nocardiaceae. The record is from RNAcentral.